AGAGUUUGAUCCUGGCUCAGAUUGAACGCUGGCGGCGUGCUUAACACAUGCAAGUCGAACGCGAAAGGGACUUCGGUCCUGAGUAAAGUGGCGCACGGGUGAGUAACGCGUGGAUAAUCUGCCCUUAUGAUCGGGAUAACAGUUGGAAACGGCUGCUAAUACCGGAUACGCUCAAAAUGAACUUUUUGAGGAAAGAUGGCCUCUGCUUGCAUGCUAUCACGUAAGGAUGAGUCCGCGUCCCAUUAGCUUGUUGGCGGGGUAACGGCCCACCAAGGCAUCGAUGGGUAGCCGAUUUGAGAGGAUGAUCGGCCACACUGGAACUGAAACACGGUCCAGACUCCUACGGGAGGCAGCAGUGGGGAAUAUUGCGCAAUGGGCGAAAGCCUGACGCAGCGACGCCGCGUGAGGGAUGAAGGUUUUCGGAUCGUAAACCUCUGUCAGAAGGGAAGAAACUACGUUGUGCUAAUCAGCAGCGUACUGACGGUACCUUCAAAGGAAGCACCGGCUAACUCCGUGCCAGCAGCCGCGGUAA
RNAcentral lists this ribosomal RNA (532 nucleotides) under uncultured bacterium. RNAcentral's name for it is "bacterial SSU rRNA". It matches the Rfam family "Bacterial small subunit ribosomal RNA", at positions 8 to 523 of the family's 1533-position model. The record is from RNAcentral.